CCUACGGGGAGCAGCAGUGAGGAAUAUUGGUCAAUGGACGAGAGUCUGAACCAGCCAAGUAGCGUGAAGGAUGACUGCCCUAUGGGUUGUAAACUUCUUUUAUAUAGGAAUAAAAUGUUGCACGUGUGCCAUUUUGUAUGUACUUUAUGAAUACGGAUCGGCUAACUCCGUGCCAGCAGCCGCGGUAAUACGGAGGAUCCGAGCGUUAUCCGGAUUUAUUGGGUUUAAAGGGAGCGUAGAUGGAUGGUUAAGUCAGUUGUGAAAGUUUGCGGCUCAACCGUAAAAUUGCAGUUGAUACUGGCAGUCUUGAGUACAGUAGAGGUAAGCGGAAUUCGUGGUGUAGCGGUGAAAUGCUUAGAUAUCACGAAGAACCCCGAUUGCGAAGGCAGCUUACUAAACUGUGACUGACAUUGAGGCUCGAAAGUGUGGGUAUCAAACAGGAUUAGAUACCCGAGUAGUC
This 460-nucleotide ribosomal RNA is filed under the name uncultured bacterium. RNAcentral describes it as "partial 16S ribosomal RNA". It matches the Rfam family "Bacterial small subunit ribosomal RNA", at positions 338 to 795 of the family's 1533-position model. The record is from RNAcentral.